CUUUUUAUUUUAUUUUUUGUCUUUGC
Molecule: small RNA, 26 nt
Filed under: Arabidopsis thaliana (thale cress)
Lineage: Eukaryota; Viridiplantae; Streptophyta; Magnoliopsida; Brassicales; Brassicaceae
Description: ATSL111620
Source: RNAcentral